AAUCAGCUGCUUCCCCAAAAAGCCAAGGGUACUUUUAAUGGAAAAUGAUAUUAGAAAUCAAGAUUUGGACAUUUGGGAUGUUGUUGCUUCUAGACACUCUCAGCUGACAGAGCAAGGAAAUAUUUGUGGAUAUGCUAACCUGACUAAAUACGCAUAUCUGCUCCAUACCUACCUAACAUCUAUCUUCUCAAGAACUCUGCCAGGGAAGGAGUAGUUUCUGUGUUUCAUAAACAGACUGAGACUCAAAGAGGCUAAGUAAACUACCUGAAGCCAUAUAUAGCAACACACAAUGACGGAUGUGAGAUUCAAACUUGGAUUUAUCUGGCUCCAAAAUUUCUAGUUUUUUUUUUUUUUUUUUUCCCACUACAGCAAAACUAAGGAGAAGAGACAGAGGUGAAUAGCUGUCUCUCAGUGGUUAUUCUGUUUUCCCUUAUCUACAUGUUUUCCUCCUUUCACUCUCUCUUGGUUUGUUCUUAUCCUUCAGAAAAACACUAGAUCUGAAUAACAAAGGAUGCAUACUUAAGCAAACUAAGGCAUAUAUAGUUAUCACUAAAUGCUCAACCUGGAAAGAAUACUGGAUUGCAGUCUGCUUUUUCUGUAAAGACAAUAGUAUUAUAAAACCGAAAGAGACAACAGGGAAUAUUUCCCACUCAACUAAGCAUAUCUAAAAGCACAUUUGAAGUUUGGAGACAAUAUUCUGUGUUAUUUUAAGAAAAGUAGCAUUAUUACCUUCUGUGGUGAUCUAGCUACAUAAGAACUGGAAAUGCCUAGGUUUAAAAUCGGGGUAUAAAGCAACCCAGAGCUUGUUAGAUAUGCAAGAUCUCUGGCCCUAUCCCCAAACUACUGUCCCAGAAUAUGUAUUUUAACAAGGUUGCUAGUGACUCAUAUGCUCAAUAAUGUUUGAAAAGCCCUGCCCCAGACUCUUGAAUAGGAUUGGCCAGGAGGUGGGAAAAGGGAUGGUAGCAGUGGUGCUUGCAAUGUACAUAGCCCCAGAUAUAUAGAAUCAGAAUCUGUAAGAGUGGAGACUUAGGAAUCUAUGUUUUAACAAGCUCCUCAGGGAAUUUUUAUAAACACUGCAAUUUGAAGAUCACAGGUAAGAAAUAAAAACAGUUCAGGGGAGAAGUGCAAUAUACACUAUGAACACCAGCUGUCAGUACUCUACAAUUUAAAAAUGACCUUGAUGGUUAAUAGUGAAAAGAAUUAUUACAAGAACAUUUUCUAAAUUUGAAAUGUAAAGAUCUAGGGAACAUGAGCUCUAAGUUAAACAGAUUUGAAUUAUCCUGUGAUUUUAUCAAAGAUCUCUAGACAUAUAAAUAGUUUACAGAGAGUAGUGGUUGGAGAUUUAGAGAUUUUGGGUACAUGUGAGUAAGUCCAUGUCAGAAUAAUGUCUUACUAUACUUGGGAAAAUAAAGUGAAUGCUUUUGUGGUUUUAAAACCAAACUGGACUCUACAGUUUGAAAGUAUGUAAGGCAGGUCAAUGACUCUUUCUAAGAAUAUCUUUUCAUUUUCUUGGCAUUAUGUCCUGAUGUUACUGGGUUUUUCAGGUACUUAAUUUUCUAGAGGGACCCCGCAGGGCAGAGCGACGUUGCACUGAGGCGAUCUGAGCUGAGCACAGGGGUAAGGAUAUAUUCCUGGACUGUGUGCUGCUGUCACCGAGAACAUUUGCAAAUCUGCUGACACAUUACAGUGGGAAUAUCCCCUGGACGCAUGGAAGGCCCAGUGCCCUGUCAUUUGAGCAGUGCAGGCACGUCACCAGCCCAUGGGGAUGUCAGUAUUCAUGCUGCUCUUUGAUAUAAAGUUCGCAUUUUCUAUAUGGUUUGAUGAUGUUUAGUGGGAUCAGUGAUGCCUGUUUGUUAAUUGCUUACAGAAGAUUUGGGCUUAAAAAUAAAAUCUUGGAUCAGGUAACAUUCUCUGUUUUAAAUUUUAUUGAUAUUUCUGAAUUCCAAGGAAAUUACUUACAUAUCAGAUGGUCUUUGAAACCUUAUUUUUUUCUAUUAUUUUUAGUAUUCUCUGCACUCUGUCUUAUAUUUCUGCCCUUUCUCCUGCAUAAGUAAAACAGAAAGAUUUAGUUAGCGUUUGAGGAUGAAAAUUAUCAAGCCUAUAUUCUCAACAACAAUCUGGGAUUUGAGUUAAUUUUAAUGUCCAAUUUGUGUCCCUCUUGCCCC
RNAcentral lists this long non-coding RNA (2165 nucleotides) under Homo sapiens (human). RNAcentral's name for it is "non-protein coding lnc-LYPD6-2:19". Lineage: Eukaryota; Metazoa; Chordata; Mammalia; Primates; Hominidae. The record is from RNAcentral.